CUCCACCUCUUCCCAUUUCGAACAGAGAAGUUAAGCCCGUUAGCGCCGAUGGUACUGCGUCAAGUGGGAGAGUAGGUCGCCGCCAACC
This 88-nucleotide ribosomal RNA is filed under the name Marinilabiliaceae bacterium JC017. The record is from RNAcentral. Lineage: Bacteria; Pseudomonadati; Bacteroidota; Bacteroidia; Marinilabiliales; Marinilabiliaceae.